Molecule: ribosomal RNA, 217 nt
Filed under: Staphylococcus aureus
Lineage: Bacteria; Bacillati; Bacillota; Bacilli; Caryophanales; Staphylococcaceae
Description: partial 16S ribosomal RNA
Rfam family: Bacterial small subunit ribosomal RNA
Source: RNAcentral
UUUAUGGAGAGUUUGAUCCUGGCUCAGGAUGAACGCUGGCGGCGUGCCUAAUACAUGCAAGUCGAGCGAACGGACGAGAAGCUUGCUUCUCUGAUGUUAGCGGCGGACGGGUGAGUAAAACGUGGAUAACCUACCUAUAAGACUGGGAUAACUUCGGGAAACCGGAGCUAAUACCGGAUAAUAUUUUGAACCGCAUGGUUCAAAAGUGAAAGACGGU